GACGUAGGGGGCGAGCGUUGUCCGGAUUCACUGGGCGUAAAGCGCGCGUAGGCGGCUCGCUAAGUCGGAUGUGAAAACCCGGGGCUCAACCCCGGGCCUGCACCCGAUACUGGCGGGCUGGAGGCAGGUAGGGGAGACUGGAAUUCCUGGUGUAGCGGUGAAAUGUGUAGAGAUCCGGAAGAACACCGGUGGCGAAGGCGGCCUGCUGGGCAGUUUAGCUGACACUGAGGCGCGACAGCGUGGGGAGCAAACAGG
RNAcentral lists this ribosomal RNA (255 nucleotides) under uncultured bacterium. RNAcentral describes it as "partial 16S ribosomal RNA". It matches the Rfam family "Bacterial small subunit ribosomal RNA", at positions 524 to 776 of the family's 1533-position model. The record is from RNAcentral.